This 642-nucleotide ribosomal RNA is filed under the name uncultured Lachnospiraceae bacterium. RNAcentral describes it as "bacterial SSU rRNA". It matches the Rfam family "Bacterial small subunit ribosomal RNA", at positions 90 to 749 of the family's 1533-position model. Lineage: Bacteria; Bacillati; Bacillota; Clostridia; Lachnospirales; Lachnospiraceae. The record is from RNAcentral.
ACUUAGCGGCGGACGGGUGAGGAACGCGUGGGUAACCUGCCCUAUACAGGGGGAUAACACAGAGAAAUCUGUGCUAAAACCGCAUAAGCCUACAGUACCGCAUGAUACGGUAGGAAAAACUCAGGUGGUAUAGGAUGGGCCCGCGUCUGAUUAGCUAGUUGGAGAGGUAAUGGCUCACCAAGGCGACGAUCAGUAGCCGGUCUGAGAGGAUGGACGGCCACAUUGGGACUGAGACACGGCCCAAACUCCUACGGGAGGCAGCAGUGGGGAAUAUUGCACAAUGGGGGAAACCCUGAUGCAGCGAUGCCGCGUGAAGGAAGAAGAUUUUCGGAUUGUAAACUUCUAUCAGCAAGGAAGAAAACGGACAGUACUUGACUAAGAAGCCCUGGCUAACUACGUGCCAGCAGCCGCGGUAAUACGUAGGGGGCAAGCGUUAUCCGGAAUUACUGGGUGUAAAGGGUGCGUAGGCGGUAUGGCAAGUUUGAUGUGAAACCCACAGGCUUAACCUGUGGCUUGCAUCGAAAACUACUGAACUAGAGUGCAGGAGAGGAAAGCGGAAUUCCUAGUGUAGCGGUGAAAUGCGUAGAUAUUAGGAAGAACACCAGUGGCGAAGGCGGCUUUCUGGACUGCAACUGACGCUGA